Molecule: long non-coding RNA, 1195 nt
Organism: Oncorhynchus masou masou (cherry salmon)
Lineage: Eukaryota; Metazoa; Chordata; Actinopteri; Salmoniformes; Salmonidae
Exons: 3
Source: RefSeq, a predicted model, not a curated record
UAUUUUCCCAUACAACCCUGCUGCGAUGUCGCCAAACCCUGAGACCACCGCCGAGGAGCUCCCUUUUGUGCCAGGACAGAUCCUUAAGGUGUUUGGAGAUGAAGAUGAUGAUGAUGGUUUCUACCACUGGGAGUCUGGUGGUCUGUCUGGUGCCAUGCCUAGUAACAUGGUAUCUGUGAUCCCAGUGGAUGAUGACUACCUUAAACAUCAGCUCAUACAGUAGGGUUUCCUGCCUAUCGACCACACCUGUACAGGUCUCUUUCUCUCACUAGCUCUUUCACUCUCUUUCGCACUCUCUAAAAGAAUUUACAUGAGAAACAAUCUGAGAUUUCUUAAUGAUGACAAAUGACAUUGGUGUGCAUCCCAAAUGCACCCUUUAUACACCAGGGCCCUGGUGAUAAGUAGUAGACUAUAUAGGGAAUAGGGUGCCAUUUGGGAUGCAGUCCUAGACUAUGAUCUAAUCAUUCAGCUCUUGACCUCUGUGUUUCCCAUCAGAUCCAAGUGAAGAGUCAAGCGUGCUAAUGACCUGGUCGUCCGCAAGAUGGUGGCCAUCUUUGAGUAUGACCCUUGUGAAUGUUCCCCCAACAUGGACAGCGACAUGAGUGUGGAACCUCCACAUGGAUGUCUAAAUCCACUAUAACUUUCUUAUUUUGAUUUUAGUGAACUCUAAUUAUCAGGUAAUCACAGUUAUCAGGUAAUCACCUGUGCAUAUUACAGCUACACCAAAUGAACAGUAACUUUUCCCCAAAAACAUUUUCUUGUAGGCUGAGUUGUGUGUGUUUGGUGAUAUGGAUGAAGAUGGAUUAUAUUAUGGGGACCUUCAUGGGCUGAGAGGUCUGGUGCCAUCCAACUACCUGGAACCACUGCCAUGGAAAUAGGAUUAACAAGGAACAUCGAUACGUGAAAUUAUGCCAAGAAUUGGAAUUAGAUACAAUGAAAAUUAACAUUUUGAAAGGAUAUCUGAAGGGAUAUUAUGUUUUGUGUCAAAUAUACAGAUUGUCAUUUUUUUCUUCUGCAUAAAUACUUGUGACCAUAUAAAUCUCCUCCAUAAUUUGUAAUGAUCAUGGGAUCGUUUUUUUGUUGUUGCCGUUUGCAGGUAAUCAUGCACAGUAACGUAGUAGAGAGAUUUUGCUCUGUCCAAAGAAAUCCUAUGAACUACAAACCUUUUGUUGGACAUUUUAAGGUGCAGUAAGAU